RNAcentral lists this ribosomal RNA (253 nucleotides) under uncultured bacterium. RNAcentral describes it as "partial 16S ribosomal RNA". It matches the Rfam family "Bacterial small subunit ribosomal RNA", at positions 524 to 776 of the family's 1533-position model. The record is from RNAcentral.
UACGUAGGGACCAAGCGUUGUUCGGAUUUACUGGGCGUAAAGGGCGCGUAGGCGGCUUGACAAGUCACUUGUGAAAUCUCCGGGCUUAACUCGGAACGGCCAAGUGAAACUGUCAUGCUAGAGUGCAGAAGGGGCAAUCGGAAUUCCUGGUGUAGCGGUGAAAUGCGUAGAUAUCAGGAGGAACACCUGUGGUGUAGACAGCUUACUGGACCACAACUGACGCUGAGGCACGAAAGCGUGGGUAGCAAACAGG